AACGAACGCUGGCGGCAUGCUUAACACAUGCAAGUCGAACGUGAAGGGGACUUCGGUCCCUGGAAAGUGGCGCACGGGUGAGUAACACGUGGAUAAUCUACCCGAUGAUCUGGAAUAACACUUCGAAAGGGGUGCUAAUACCGGAUAAGCUCACGACGUCUUCGGACGAUGUGGGAAAAGGGGGCAUCGGCUCCUGUCAUCGGAUGAGUCCGCGGCCCAUUAGCUAGUUGGUAGGGUAAUGGCCUACCAAGGCUACGAUGGGUAGCUGGUCUGGGAGGAUAAUCAGCCACACUGGAACUGAGACACGGUCCAGACUCCAACGGGAGGCAGCAGUGGGGAAUUUUGCGCAAUGGGUGAAAGCCUGACGCAGCAAUGCCGCGUGAGUGAUGAAGGCCUUCGGGUCGUAAAGCUCUGUCAGAGAGGAAGAAACUCCCGUCGGUUAAUACCCGGCGGGCCUGACGGUACCCUCAAAGGAAGCACCGGCUAACUCCGUGCCAGCAGCCGCCGUAA
This 510-nucleotide ribosomal RNA is filed under the name uncultured bacterium. RNAcentral's name for it is "partial 16S ribosomal RNA". It matches the Rfam family "Bacterial small subunit ribosomal RNA", at positions 29 to 523 of the family's 1533-position model. The record is from RNAcentral.